AUUGAACGCUGGCGGCAGGCCUAACACAUGCAAGUCGAGCGGAAGAAGGGAGCUAGCUUCUUCUUUCGGCGGCCGACUGGCGGGCGGGUGAGAAAAACCUGCCUAUCAGUGUUGUAUAGGGGGCUGAAGCGGGCGCUAAUACGCCAAACGUCCUUAGGGAGUAAGUGGGGGAGCAUCGGACCUCACGAUCUUACAUGAUCGUAGGUCGGAUUAGCUAGUUGGUGGGGUAAAGGCCUACCAAGGCGACGAUCCGUAACUGGUCUGAGAGGAUGAGCAGCCACACUGGAACUGAGACACGGUCCAGACUCCUACGGGAGGCAGCAGUGGGGAAUAUUGGACAAUGGGCGCAAGCCUGAUCCAGCCAUGCCGCGUGUGUGAAGAAGGUCUUCGGAUUGUAAAGCCCUUUUGGUUGGAAGGAAGGGCAGCAAGUUAAUACCUCGCUGUUUUGACGUUACCCAAAGAAUAAGCACCGGCUAACUUCGUG
RNAcentral lists this ribosomal RNA (484 nucleotides) under uncultured bacterium. RNAcentral describes it as "partial 16S ribosomal RNA". It matches the Rfam family "Bacterial small subunit ribosomal RNA", at positions 30 to 507 of the family's 1533-position model. The record is from RNAcentral.